UACGGAGGGUGCAAGCGUUAUCCGGAUUUACUGGGUUUAAAGGGUGCGUAGGUGGCGGGGUAAGUCAGGUGUGAAAUCUCGGAGCUCAACUCCGAAACUGCACUUGAUACUGCCUUGCUUGAGUACUGGAGAGGAGAUUGGAAUUUACGGUGUAGCAGUGAAAUGCGUAGAUAUCGUAAGGAAGACCAGUGGCGAAGGCGACUCUUUGGCCUGUAACUGACGCUGAGGCGCGAAAGCGUGGGGAGCAAACAGG
This 253-nucleotide ribosomal RNA is filed under the name uncultured bacterium. RNAcentral describes it as "partial 16S ribosomal RNA". It matches the Rfam family "Bacterial small subunit ribosomal RNA", at positions 524 to 776 of the family's 1533-position model. The record is from RNAcentral.